This 532-nucleotide ribosomal RNA is filed under the name Bifidobacterium breve. RNAcentral describes it as "bacterial SSU rRNA". It matches the Rfam family "Bacterial small subunit ribosomal RNA", at positions 158 to 700 of the family's 1533-position model. Lineage: Bacteria; Bacillati; Actinomycetota; Actinomycetes; Bifidobacteriales; Bifidobacteriaceae. The record is from RNAcentral.
GGGUGGUAAUGCCGGAUGCUCCAUCACACCGCAUGGUGUGUUGGGAAAGCCUUUGCGGCAUGGGAUGGGGUCGCGUCCUAUCAGCUUGAUGGCGGGGUAACGGCCCACCAUGGCUUCGACGGGUAGCCGGCCUGAGAGGGCGACCGGCCACAUUGGGACUGAGAUACGGCCCAGACUCCUACGGGAGGCAGCAGUGGGGAAUAUUGCACAAUGGGCGCAAGCCUGAUGCAGCGACGCCGCGUGAGGGAUGGAGGCCUUCGGGUUGUAAACCUCUUUUGUUAGGGAGCAAGGCAUUUUGUGUUGAGUGUACCUUUCGAAUAAGCACCGGCUAACUACGUGCCAGCAGCCGCGGUAAUACGUAGGGUGCAAGCGUUAUCCGGAAUUAUUGGGCGUAAAGGGCUCGUAGGCGGUUCGUCGCGUCCGGUGUGAAAGUCCAUCGCUUAACGGUGGAUUCGCGCCGGGUACGGGCGGGCUUGAGUGCGGUAGGGGAGACUGGAAUUCCCGGUGUAACGGUGGAAUGUGUAGAUAUCGG